RNAcentral lists this ribosomal RNA (253 nucleotides) under uncultured bacterium. RNAcentral describes it as "partial 16S ribosomal RNA". It matches the Rfam family "Bacterial small subunit ribosomal RNA", at positions 524 to 776 of the family's 1533-position model. The record is from RNAcentral.
GACGUAGGGCGCAAGCGUUGUCCGGAUUUAUUGGGCGUAAAGAGCUCGUAGGCGGUUUGUCGCGUCUGCUGUGAAAACGCGAGGCUCAACCUCGCGCCUGCAGUGGGUACGGGCAGACUAGAGUGUGGUAGGGGAGAUUGGAAUUCCUGGUGUAGCGGUGGAAUGCGCAGAUAUCAGGAGGAACACCGAUGGCGAAGGCAGAUCUCUGGGCCAUUACUGACGCUGAGGAGCGAAAGCGUGGGGAGCGAACAGG